Molecule: long non-coding RNA, 695 nt
Organism: Parus major (Great Tit)
Lineage: Eukaryota; Metazoa; Chordata; Aves; Passeriformes; Paridae
Exons: 3
Source: RefSeq, a predicted model, not a curated record
CUGCAGAGCGAAGUUCGCCCCGCUGCCGGCGCGGAGGCCCGGGGGGACAGGGGAGCCCUGCUACCAUCUUGCCGACUCUAAGCCCUGCCCGGCCGCCGGCCUGGGCCGAGCCGCGGUCCGCCGGGCCCCGGGAGCAGCUCCCGGCCAGGCUGGGCCGUGGCCAGGGCUGCUGAGAUUCUGCCUGGCCGUUUCCUGCCGCCGCUUUCACCAGCAAUCCCCGGGCAGGGAAGCCACGGUCCCGCGGCCCUCCUGGUUCUGCCCGGCUGCUGAACUCCUUGCCGCCACCCCUCAGCGCGGCCGCUGCCCAGCAGAGACCUCGGCACCAACAGCGAAAGAUGUGGCAGUAAAGGACAAUGUGGUACAUACAGGGAAAAGGCAGAGCUGUGAGGAUGAAGCAUGAAGUAAUUAGAAGUUCUUCAAAUGAGCUGGGUGAAAUGGAACAGAAGGUGCAGCCUCGGCAGACAGAACUCUCUGAACACCCAGCCUGACAGUCUCAGGAUUGCUGUCUCGGUCUAACAAAGAGGAAACAGAUUUUACUGCAGUAGGACCAACGUAAUGAUUUCUACGAGCAUUGGCAGGACUUUUCCUGAAUGCAGUGUGAUUGCUUUCUAACUUACACUGUUGUCUGCAUUUUGUGUAUACUGUAUAACCCAAAAAGGAAAUAAAAAAGUACCGCUUUUCUGAGAGAAACCCAA